GCAAUUUAAAUCAAAAUUAAUGAAACAUGCAAUACAGAAGCCAUUUGUUGUCGUCUAUUAUGUCAGCAACACCACUGCUAAGAGAAAUGGUGAUAUGCUAAUUGUUUGAACUGUCAAAAUGAAAUUGCUCAAAACAAAAGUUACCCAUAUGGACAUUAAAGCCUUUACAGCUUAUCCAGAGGUAAAAAUAAAUACAUAAAUACAAUUUCUAAUUUAGUGAGUGCACAAAAGGAUGAUCAUGAGUAAUGUUAUAUUGAUUGUGUGUAAGAUAAAAGAGUAGAAAUAUGAAGAAAUUGAGAGAAAAUGACGAUUUGCUGCUCUUUAAUACAGACUCAAACAUUGGCGAUGAUAAUAUCAGGAAAAAAAUACAUCUGUUUUUGUGAGCCGAUCUGGUGAGCCAGCACACAAAGGGCAGCCCUGUAUCAUAGUCAGCCACCUGUGGGCUUUUGUCCCUGGCCCGUCACGUCACAUAUCCCCGCCAUGUUAGCCUGUCUACAAUGGACAGGAGCCCAUCAGCUGGAUUCAGCGCUGGCCCUGGCCUCUGUGAUCUGACUGCUGUAUGAUACACAAAGCAAAAUCCCACUAGACAGACUCACACAGGGAUUAACACAAAUACCCCCCACCCUCACCCAAUAAAAAAAAAAAAAAACAACAUAUGUGAACAAAGCCACACACGUUUUCACAGCUUCUCCAGCACCAACAUUAUGAAUAUGAAUAACCCUCUGGCCCAGAUUUUAGCGAGCUGUACCAUUCGGUGCUGCGUUCAAGCCUUCAAGAUGUCAACACAGCGACAGAAGGGCAAACUGAGAAACAAAUCUAACAACACAGUGUGGGCCAGCAAUAGGCUAUAGGCAUCAGCCAGUGAUCGAGGGUGAUGAGGGAAAAAAGGGGUGUCCCAGUGCUGGCCCAAUAUGCUUUAUUUAGCAGAGCAAAUCUGAGCAGAGCCCAGUGACUUGCACCAGUUGUUUAUGCACUAAAAGUCCAUGUGGUGAACUAAAAACUUUGCAAUUCAAGAACCUAACUUGUCGAGAGACUUGUGACGACAGCUUGCUGAGAGGGUACAGAUUGUAGAGGGGUACAAACGAUGGCAGGAAGAUCUACCUCUAAUCCAA
Astatotilapia calliptera (eastern happy) is the source of this 1112-nucleotide long non-coding RNA. NCBI's taxonomy places the organism in Eukaryota, Metazoa, Chordata, Actinopteri, Cichliformes, Cichlidae. The record is from Ensembl.